CGAAAGCGGCUNUCUGGUCUGUCACUGACGCUGAGGCUCGAAAGCGUGGGUAGCGAACAGGAUUAGAUACCCUGGUAGUCCACGCCGUAAACGCUGAGUGCUAGGUGUUAGGUCCUUUCCGGGACUUAGUGCCGACGCUAACGCAUUAAGCACUCCGCCUGGGGAGUACGACCGCAAGGUUGAAACUCAAAGGAAUUGACGGGGGCCCGCACAAGCGGUGGAGCAUGUGGUUUAAUUCGAAGCAACGCGAAGAACCUUACCAGGUCUUGACAUCCCGAUGCCCGCUCUAGAGAUAGAGUUUUUCUUCGGAACAUCGGAGACAGGUGGUGCAUGGUUGUCGUCAGCUCGUGUCGUGAGAUGUUGGGUUAAGUCCCGCAACGAGCGCAACCCUUAUUGUUAGUUGCCAUCAUUAAGUUGGGCACUCUAGCGAGACUGCCGGUAAUAAACCGGAGGAAGGUGGGGAUGACGUCAAAUCAUCAUGCCCCUUAUGACCUGGGCUACACACGUGCUACAAUGGUUGGUACAACGAGUCGCAAGCCGGUGACGGCAAGCUAAUCUCUGAAAGCCAAUCUCAGUUCGGAUUGUAGGCUGCAACUCGCCUACAUGAAGUCGGAAUCGCUAGUAAUCGCGGAUCAGCACGCCGCGGUGAAUACGUUCCCGGGCCUUGUACACACCGCCCG
RNAcentral lists this ribosomal RNA (680 nucleotides) under uncultured bacterium. RNAcentral's name for it is "bacterial SSU rRNA". It matches the Rfam family "Bacterial small subunit ribosomal RNA", at positions 716 to 1396 of the family's 1533-position model. The record is from RNAcentral.